GCAAACUUGGUCAUUUAGAGGAAGUAAAAGUCGUAACAAGGUCUCCGUUGGUGAACCAGCGGAGGGAUCAUUACAGAGUUAUCCAAACUCCAAACCCUAUGUGAACUUACCACUGUUGCCUUGGCGGAAGCCGCUGGCUACGCUGUAACUCCCCGGGAGAUAGCUACCCUGGAGCUACCCUGUAGCCGGCAUUAGGCCCGUCGAAGGACCACUAAACUCUUGUUUUUACCGUGUAUCUCUGAAUGCUUCAAACUUAAUAAGUUAAAACUUUCAACAACGGAUCUCUUGGUUCUGGCAUCGAUGAAGAACGCAGC
Molecule: unclassified non-coding RNA, 314 nt
Filed under: uncultured fungus
Lineage: Eukaryota; Fungi
Description: partial contains small subunit ribosomal RNA, internal transcribed spacer 1, and 5.8S ribosomal RNA
Rfam family: Eukaryotic small subunit ribosomal RNA (bases 1-73)
Source: RNAcentral